UACAGGUGCAGCAUACCCCCUUUGGCCAUUUUUAGCAGAAUUCCAGAAAGAUGUGUAAUGUCUUUUAUAUUCUGUGGUUUGGACUGAUACAAGUGGUUGUAAGCAGGCUGGAUGCUCUGCGUAUGACUCUGAACAAGCUCGGGAGGCUGAGAGAUUACAUGCAGAACACUCUCCUGCAAUUCACUUAAAAAUGAGUAAAAUGGAUAUGCCAUUAUGUACUGCCUGUCUUCUGAGGUAUACCCUGCGCCCACAGAGAGCCGACACAGGGGACACAUCACCCCUGUACAACACAAGCAGUGACACCUGCAGA
Long non-coding RNA from Bufo gargarizans (Asiatic toad), 310 nucleotides. RefSeq lists it as uncharacterized. The record is from RefSeq and is a predicted model, not a curated record. Lineage: Eukaryota; Metazoa; Chordata; Amphibia; Anura; Bufonidae. The transcript has 3 exons.